AUUGAACGCUGGCGGCAUGCCUUACACAUGCAAGUCGAACGGCAGCACGGGUGCUUGCACCUGGUGGCGAGUGGCGAACGGGUGAGUAAUACAUCGGAACAUGUCCUGUAGUGGGGGAUAGCCCGGCGAAAGCCGGAUUAAUACCGCAUACGAUCUACGGAUGAAAGCGGGGGACCUUCGGGCCUCGCGCUAUAGGGUUGGCCGAUGGCUGAUUAGCUAGUUGGUGGGGUAAAGGCCUACCAAGGCGACGAUCAGUAGCUGGUCUGAGAGGACGACCAGCCACACUGGGACUGAGACACGGCCCAGACUCCUACGGGAGGCAGCAGUGGGGAAUUUUGGACAAUGGGCGAAAGCCUGAUCCAGCAAUGCCGCGUGUGUGAAGAAGGCCUUCGGGUUGUAAAGCACUUUUGUCCGGAAAGAAAUCCUUGGCCCUAAUACGGUCGGGGGAUGACGGUACCGGAAAAAUAAGCACCGGCUAACUACGUG
This 486-nucleotide ribosomal RNA is filed under the name uncultured bacterium. RNAcentral describes it as "partial 16S ribosomal RNA". It matches the Rfam family "Bacterial small subunit ribosomal RNA", at positions 30 to 507 of the family's 1533-position model. The record is from RNAcentral.